UACGUAGGGUGCAGGCGUUAAUCGGAAUUACUGGGCGUAAAGCGUGCGCAGGCGGUCUUUUAAGUCAGAUGUGAAAUCCCCGGGCUUAACCUAGGAACUGCGUUUGAAACUGGAAGGCUUGAGUGUGGCAGAGGGGGGUGGAAUUCCACGUGUAGCAGUGAAAUGCGUAGAUAUGUGGAGGAACACCGAUGGCGAAGGCAGCCCCCUGGGCUGACACUGACGCUCAGGCACGAAAGCGUGGGGAGCAAACAGG
Molecule: ribosomal RNA, 253 nt
Filed under: uncultured bacterium
Lineage: Bacteria
Description: partial 16S ribosomal RNA
Rfam family: Bacterial small subunit ribosomal RNA
Source: RNAcentral